GUGACCUCAAAUCAGGUAG
This 19-nucleotide ribosomal RNA is filed under the name uncultured Cortinarius. Its description in RNAcentral is "partial 28S ribosomal RNA". Lineage: Eukaryota; Fungi; Basidiomycota; Agaricomycetes; Agaricales; Cortinariaceae. The record is from RNAcentral.